Molecule: ribosomal RNA, 453 nt
Filed under: uncultured bacterium
Lineage: Bacteria
Description: bacterial SSU rRNA
Rfam family: Bacterial small subunit ribosomal RNA
Source: RNAcentral
CAGCAGUGGGGAAUAUUGCACAAUGGGGGAAACCCUGAUGCAGCCAUGCCGCGUGUGUGAAGAAGGCCUUCGGGUUGUAAAGCACUUUCAGUAGGGAGGAAGGUAGUGUAGUUAACACCUGCAUUAUUUGACGUUACCUACAGAAGAAGCACCGGCUAACUCCGUGCCAGCAGCCGCGGUAAUACGGAGGGUGCGAGCGUUAAUCGGAAUUACUGGGCGUAAAGCGCAUGCAGGCGGCCUGUUAAGUCAGAUGUGAAAGCCCGGGGCUUAACCUCGGAAUUGCAUUUGAAACUGGCAGGCUAGAGUCUUGUAGAGGGGGGUAGGAAUUUCAGGUGUAGCGGUGAAAUGCGUAGAGAUCUGAAGGAAUACCAGUGGCGAAGGCGGCCCCCUGGACAAAGACUGACGCUCAGAUGCGAAAGCGUGGGGAGCAAACAGGAUUAGAUACCCUGGUAG